Molecule: ribosomal RNA, 1966 nt
Filed under: human gut metagenome
Description: bacterial LSU rRNA
Rfam family: Bacterial large subunit ribosomal RNA
Source: RNAcentral
GAAAGUAGGAAAGGGCGCAUGGCGGAUGCCUUGGCUCUCGGAGGCGAUGAAGGACGUGAUAAGCUGCGAUAAGUCACGGGGAGGUGCAAAUAACCUUUGAUCCGUGAAUCUCCGAAUGGGACAACCCGAUAUCCUGAAGGGAUAUCACCUUACAUAGUAAGGAGCUAACGCAGGGAACUGAAACAUCUUAGUACCUGCAGGAAAAGAAAAUAACAAUGAUUCCCCCAGUAGUGGCGAGCGAACGGGGAAUAGCCCAAACCAUUCAUGUUACGGCAUGGAUGGGGUUGUAGGACCACGGCGUUGCAAGAGAUCUUGUGAGAAGAACAGCCUGGAAAGACUGACCAGAGACGGUGACAGUCCGGUAUUCGAAGCAAGACGAAGCAUAGUGGUAUCCUGAGUAGCGCGGAACACGAGGAAUUCUGCGUGAAUCUGCCGGGACCAUCCGGUAAGGCUAAAUACUCCCGAGAGACCGAUAGCGAACCAGUACCGUGAGGGAAAGGUGAAAAGCACUUCGAACAGAAGAGUGAAAGAGUACCUGAAACCGUGCGCCUACAAGCGGUCGGAGCACGAAAGUGUGACGGCGUGCCUUUUGCAUAAUGAACCUACGAGUUACCGUAUCUGGCAAGGUUAAGGGUCACGAGACCUGCAGCCGAAGCGAAAGCGAGUCUGAAGAGGGCGUCGAGUCAGUUGCGGUAGACGCGAAACCAAGUGAUCUACCCUUGGCCAGGAUGAAGUCUGGGUAACACCAGAUGGAGGUCCGCACCAAUAAGCGUUGAAAAGCUUCUGGAUGAGCUGAGGGUAGGGGUGAAAGGCUAAUCAAACUUGGAGAUAGCUCGUACUCCCCGAAAUGCAUUUAGGUGCAGCCUCGCGGGUUACUGAUGUGAGGUAGAGCGACUGAUUGGAUGCGAGGGCUUCACCGCCUAUCAAGUCCUGACAAACUCCGAAUGCGCAUCAGUUUUACCGCGGGAGUGAGGGCAUGGGUGCUAAGGUCCGUGCCCGAGAGGAGAAGAAUCCGGACUAUCAGCUAAGGCCCCGAAAUGACAGCUAAGUUAAACUAACGAAGUCUGAUUGCUAAGACAGCUAGGAUGUUGGCUUGGAAGCAGCCAUUCAUUUAAAGAGUGCGUAACAGCUCACUAGUCGAGGAGUUUGGCGUGGAUAAUAAUCGGGCAUCAAGUAUUCUACCGAAGCUUUGGGAUGUGUAAACAUCGGUAGGGGAGCAUUCCACUCGGCGUUGAAGGUGAGGCGUGAGCCUUGCUGGAGCGUGUGGAAAAGCAAAUGUAGGUAUAAGUAACGAUAAAGGGGGUGAGAAACCCCCUCGCCGAAAGACUAAGGUUUCCUGAUCAACGCUAAUCGGAUCAGGGUAAGUCGGGUCCUAAGGUUCAGCCGAACGGCGAGACCGAUGGCAGAAACGGUUAAUAUUCCGUUACUACCUUUGAGGGUGACGUGGGGACGCAGGAGUGACACCGCCGCCGGCUGACGGAAUAGCCGGUUAAAGAGUGUAGACGUUGAUUUCCGCAGGCAAAUCCACGGAAAGAGUCGAACUUGACAGUAUGGAACGUCCUUCGGGACAAUCCAAUAGUGCGGGUAAGCAGACUGCCGAGAAAAUCCGCUAAACAUAACUUCAGAGGUACCCGUACCGCAAACGGACACACGUAGUCGGGUUGAAUAUACUAAGGCGCUUGAGUGAAUCACGGUUAAGGAACUAGGCAAACUGACCCUGUAACUUCGGGAUAAAGGGUCCCUACCCAGAAAUGGGAGGGCGCAGAGAAUAGGUCCAGGCAACUGUUUAACAAAAACACAGGGCUGUGCCAAUAUGAAAGUAGACGUAUACAGCCUGACACCUGCCCGGUGCUGGAAGGUUAAGAGGAGAUGUCAUCGCAAGAGAAGCAUUGAAUUGAAGCCCCAGUAAACGGCGGCCGUAACUAUAACGGUCCUAAGGUAGCGAAAUUCCUUGUCGGGUAAGUUC